AUACGUAGGUGGCAAGCGUUGUCCGGAAUUACUGGGUGUAAAGGGCGUGUAGGCGGAGCAGCAAGUCAGAAGUGAAAUCUCCGGGCUUAACCCGGAAACUGCUUUUGAAACUGUUGCCCUUGAGUAUCGGAGAGGCAGGCGGAAUUCCUAGUGUAGCGGUGAAAUGCGUAGAUAUUAGGAGGAACACCAGUGGCGAAGGCGGCCUGCUGGACGACAACUGACGCUGAGGCGCGAAAGCGUGGGGAGCAAACAGGAUUAGAUACCCUGGUAGUCCACGCCGUAAACGAUGGAUACUAGGUGUGGGGGGACUGACCCCCUCCGUGCCGCAGUCAACACAAUAAGUAUCCCACCUGGGGAGUACGAUCGCAAGAUUGAAACUCAAAUGAAUUGACGG
This 394-nucleotide ribosomal RNA is filed under the name uncultured bacterium. Its description in RNAcentral is "partial 16S ribosomal RNA". It matches the Rfam family "Bacterial small subunit ribosomal RNA", at positions 523 to 916 of the family's 1533-position model. The record is from RNAcentral.